Long non-coding RNA from Pyrus x bretschneideri (Chinese white pear), 2632 nucleotides. RefSeq lists it as uncharacterized. The record is from RefSeq and is a predicted model, not a curated record. The transcript is spliced from 7 exons. Lineage: Eukaryota; Viridiplantae; Streptophyta; Magnoliopsida; Rosales; Rosaceae.
CUUUUCGGUGUGGAUUUGAAGAGGAUUUGUGAAGUGGCUUUGAUUUGAUGUUUUUCAGUUUAAUUUGAAGGAAUUUCUUGCGCAGAAGAGCUAGGCUUUCUUGUUUAUGGAAGAAGAGGUUGCAAUUGCCCUGGAAGCGAAUCAAUAAAAGAGUGCAAGACUUGAGAAAGAAAUUUGUAACACAAAGAUCAACCUCUCCAGGCUGAAGCAAUUGUGUUCCUGAACCUUCUCCCACAUUCCACCACCACGCAGAUUAUUCUAGAGCCAUAGUUAUGGAAGGAAAAAGGAUUUUCCGCUUAUGACACCCAAGAAAGUGUGGGAAGGUUGUUGAUUAUCUCAUUGAGCUGGCACAAGUGGUGGAGAUCCCUAAUCACUUUAUAUGCACCUGCAUUCUUUUCCAGAUUUAUGGAACAUAGAGAAAAGUUCUAGGUUUUCCUUUUUCUUUGUUAACAAAGAUAAUUGUUGCUUAUUGUUUUCCUUGGCUAUCCCACUUUUAGUGUAGGUUGUGGGAAAAUUCCCAAAUUACUCCUUAGGAUAUUUGAAUCGGCAUCCUGAUUCUCUUUUUUUCUUUCAUAAAUAUCUAUUCGAUUUGCAAAUAGUCCAGUGUUUUCCUUACCUACUCAUUGUUCAUAGACUAACCCCGAGUGUUUGAAGAGUCGGUACUUUCUAUGACUUUUUGUGAAGUGAGCAGAUCAAGCUCCACUCUCAACCUGGUCAGUCUUCAAUCUACCAUUUACUUUAAUGUCAUGUCUUCUAAUUUGUAUUUGUUCAGGAUUUCAAAAUUAAUGUCUGAUUUCUACCAUUUUCAUUAUUGUUCUAUUAUUUUAAGCUACAUAUGAAGUGUUAAGUGUUGUACAUGUUAGGUAGAAUUAAGAAGUGAAUUAGGUACUCUUGAGAAGGGAUAAUUCUAUGGGUGUUGACUUGGUUUUUAGUUUGAUUGUUUAGCUAUAACAUAAAAUCUCAAUACUUACAUUUACAAUAUUAGAAUGCACUGAUCUAAACAAGAGACUAUUAAAUCACUGAAAAAAGUCCUCUCUAACUGGUAUAAAAUCAGAUUCUUUUCCACAAAAAAAGGACUAGGGUUAAUCUUAGUUUACUACUAUGAAGUUUCGUGGUUUUCAACAUUUGGUACAUGUAGUUUUUUUCAUUCCAGAGUCAUACUUCAAAUCUUAAUUUUGGACAGUUUCAUACAUUCGUUAAGUUAGCUGUUAAGUCAACCGUUAACUGAUAACGUGGCGCUCAUGUGGACAAUGACUGGACACCACGUGUCAAUAUAGGCCUAUAUAAAUAUUAAAAAAAUUAAAGAAUUAAAAAAAAAAAAAAAUUAAAGAACUAAACAAAUAAAAAAAAGGCCUAGGGAUGCGGGCCUUCCCGUUCCUCCACCUGCAUCAACCCUUUUUCUUCCCCAUCGCUGUUGAUUGCAGCAUCUUCCCCAACCCAUUCCUCCUAUUGCACUCCCUUGCUUCUCCUACAGCAUAAACCCAGCAACAACUGCGUCGUCGCUGUUGGAUCCAAACAAAUUUUGGGUCAUCGAUCAGGAGGUCUAGAUGGAGGGUUUUGAUGGUGGGUGGGUAGGUCGAUUGUUGAACUAAAGGUUUUUGACGAAAGGCGUUUGAGAGACUUAAAGGACGAAGACGGUGAAGGACUGGAAGGGAGGGGAGGUGAAGAGGGCAGAGGGAGAGGGAUGACUCAUUGGCCACAAAGAGGUCGAGCUUGUAGAUAUGGGGGACCUCGGUGGGGUGCGCUAGCCGGAAUCUGGGGUUUCUCCAAUUUUUGAAUGGGCGACGCUAAUUGAUCAAAUUCUUUGGAUUUCUGCGUGCUCUGCUCGUUUUCUCAACUGGGGUUUCUCCAAUUUUUGAACUUCACAGGUGCCCACAUGGGACUGGGACUCGAUUGAACACAGAGUGACGAAGGUUUUGUGGAAGUGAUCAAGGAACAGGUACGAUGGAAUCGGAGCUGGGUUUAAUCGAGCAGUCGUUGAUCAGCCGCUACUCUCUCUGGGUGCACGAAGCUCUGAGCGAAUUGCCCGACAGCUUCACGAUCACUGACCCUUCGAUUUCUGGGCAUCCAAUCGUGUUUGCGAGUAAAGGGUUCCUGAAAAUGUCGGGAUAUUUGAAGAACAAGGUGUUCGGGAGGAAUGGCAGUGUUUCAGGGUUCGGGGACUUGCAGGCGGUUGGUCAUGGAGGUCCGGGAGGCCAGAGAAGGGGAAGAAAGGUUCUGCAAAAAUCCAAGGAGAAGCACGCAUCCUAUGGCAUUUUAAUUUGUUUUUUCUUUAAUUUUUAUUUAUUAAUUUUAGUUUUUUUUUUAAUUUUUUAAUUUUUUUAAUUUUUUUAUAUCACGUGGACCUAUAUUGACAUGUGGCACCUAGUCAUUGUCCACUUAGGUGUCAUGUCACUAGUUAACAGCUGAUUAAACAGCCAACUUAACAGAUGUAUGAAAUUGUUCCAAAAUUAAGACUUGAGGUAUGACUGGGAUGAAAAAAAUUUCAUGUACCAAAUGUUAAAAAUCAUGAAAGUUUAAGAUAGUAAACUGAGAUUAAUCCAAAAGACUAUGUAACCAUACUUUAUUAUUAUUAUUUUUUUAGUAUAAACAUGUUGAUGUAUAAAUUAAUUGCAUGUAUUUUAAUAUUUCA